GAUGAACGCUGGCGGCGUGCUUUACACAUGCAAGUCGAACGCUGAAGCCCCUUCGGGGGCCGGAUGAGUGGCGAACGGGUGAGUAACACGUGGGUAACCUACCUCGCACAUCGGGAUAAGCCCGGGAAACUGGGUCUAAUACCGAAUAUGACUUAUCACCACAUGGUGGUAAGUGGAAAGUUCCGGCGGUGCAGAUGGACCCGCGGCCUAUCAGCUUGUUGGUGGGGUAAUGGCCCACCAAGGCGACAACGGGUAGCCGGCCUGAGAGGGUGUCCGGCCACACUGGGACUGAGAUACGGCCC
RNAcentral lists this ribosomal RNA (302 nucleotides) under uncultured bacterium. RNAcentral describes it as "bacterial SSU rRNA". It matches the Rfam family "Bacterial small subunit ribosomal RNA", at positions 28 to 332 of the family's 1533-position model. The record is from RNAcentral.